AGCCAGAGAUGCCAAGAAAGAAAGAUGAUUGCAGCAAAGAAUGUGUUGGUGCAGAAGGAGAGUGGUUUCUUACUCUAAAUUUCAGUGAUGAUAAACUUGCAAACCUCUUCUGCCUAGCAUCAUGUCCUUCAUUCAGCCUGUGCAUCACAACACGUAGCAAUGGACAAAUAGCCACUAAAAUUCCACCCGUGAAGCACAGCACCAAAGAGAAUCAACAGCUUUCUCGUAGUUUUUGAAGGAAUCAGGAACAGGGAACAUUUUGAACAAACUAUAAUCAAGAUUGCGGUGGCAUUAAACACAUACACAGCAUGAGCAUUGUUUCAUCCCAGUCAGUAGGACAAAUCUUAUUCCCGUAUCAAAAUGAACAGAGCAACUGAUAAGCAGGAGCUACUCAGGAAUCAUGAGGCAAAACAAUUUUGGGUUUCAUCCACUGAAGGAAGUGAGAAAUCUUUUGAGACUCUCAGGUUGGGCCUAUUUAAGACCUCCUGAGUUUAGCCACUGUCUUCAGGGAGAGCAGGAUUGGUCCCAAAGCACAUUCUAUCUAUCUCAGGCUCCAGCCUCCACCCAGACGCACUUGACACCUGCCUACGAAGGGCACCCAGGAAAUCUUUCCCCACUCGCAAGAACUGUCUGUGUAUGAAACAAGGAGACCUCACUAAGUUGGUUGUCGGUGGUUAGCUAAAUCCCAGAGUUCAGGUUGGUCUGUCUCGAGUCCAGCCAUUAAGGGAAGUGCUUCUUGAUCCAGAGCUGAAGUGCCACCUACCUAAUCCAGCUGUGAUGAUUUCAGCUUUACUGGUGCAGGAUAGGGGGCCCGCAUUCAGUUGUUGCUGGCUCUGCAGCAAAAGCCAUCUGGAACUGCAUUUAUUUCCUCUUGUCCAUUAAACCACAGCAGACCUCAUUUCCCCACCCAUGCCUCAAUUUCU
Molecule: long non-coding RNA, 923 nt
Organism: Mauremys reevesii (Reeves's turtle)
Lineage: Eukaryota; Metazoa; Chordata; Testudines; Geoemydidae
Exons: 6
Source: RefSeq, a predicted model, not a curated record